RNAcentral lists this long non-coding RNA (406 nucleotides) under Mytilus galloprovincialis (Mediterranean mussel). Lineage: Eukaryota; Metazoa; Mollusca; Bivalvia; Mytilida; Mytilidae. The record is from RNAcentral.
AAAAAAAAAGCCUGUCAGUCCCCAUAACUAAUACAUAACCUGUAGUGGGUACAUAAAUUUCCUUCUGAGUUUUCUAAUAAAAAUUAGGCAGGUAUGAAAGGUGUAUUGCAAUAAGUUAUUAGUACUUACCUAUUCUAUUUAUUUAUUAAAAAUCAUUUUAUUUCUUAAUAAAAAAUAAAUUGUGAAGAGAUAUCAAGUGAUGCUUUUAAAAUGACAGACCAUUGAUGCAAGGUUAUCGUGGUGAAAAAUUAUAUGCAAAAGGUGACUUGAAUGAGAAACAAAUAUUUUGGCUAGUGAAUGUAUGCAAGUCUUUAUAUUGCAUAAGACAUGGAGAUGAAUAACAUAGUUUUCAACUUAAAUAAUGCAGAUAAAUCCAAUUGAUACAGACCUGGGAGUAGUAGAUAAU